AGAGUUUGAUUCUGGCUCAGGAUGAACGCUGGCGGCGUGCCUAACACAUGCAAGUCGAGCGGACCAAUGCUCAUUUCAGCUUUACUGAUUUGAGCAUUGGUUAGCGGCGGACGGGUGAGUAACGCGUGGGCAACCUGCCCUGUGCAGGGGGAUAACACAGCGAAAGCUGUGCUAAUACCCCAUAAGACUACGCUAUCGCAUGAUAGAGUAGUCAAAGCUUUAGCGGCACAGGAUGGGCCCGCGUCUGAUUAGCUAGUUGGUGGGGUAACGGCCUACCAAGGCGACGAUCAGUAGCCGACCUGAGAGGGUGAUCGGCCACACUGGAACUGAGACACGGUCCAGACUCCUACGGGAGGCAGCAGUGGGGAAUAUUGCACAAUGGGGGAAACCCUGAUGCAGCAACGCCGCGUGAGCGAAGAAGGCCUUCGGGUCGUAAAGCUCUGUCCUAAGGGAAGAAGUAUGACGGUACCUUAGGAGGAAGCCCCGGCUAACUACGUGCCAGCAGCCGCGGUAAUACGUAGGGGGCGAGCGUUAUCCGGAAUCACUGGGCGUAAAGGGUGCGUAGGCGGCCGAGUAAGCCAGGGGUGAAAGGCUACGGCUUAACCGUAGUAAGCCUUUGGAACUACUUGGCUUGAGUGCAGGAGAGGAGAGUGGAAUUCCUAGUGUAGCGGUGAAAUGCGUAGAUAUUAGGAGGAACACCAGUGGCGAAGGCGACUCUCUGGACUGUAACUGACGCUGAGGCACGAAAGCGUGGGGAGCAAACAGGAUUAGAU
This 773-nucleotide ribosomal RNA is filed under the name uncultured bacterium. RNAcentral's name for it is "bacterial SSU rRNA". It matches the Rfam family "Bacterial small subunit ribosomal RNA", at positions 8 to 783 of the family's 1533-position model. The record is from RNAcentral.